This is a small nuclear RNA of Ictidomys tridecemlineatus (thirteen-lined ground squirrel), 95 nucleotides long. The record is from Ensembl. NCBI's taxonomy places the organism in Eukaryota, Metazoa, Chordata, Mammalia, Rodentia, Sciuridae.
GUACUAGCUUCAGCAGCAUGGACACUAAGAUUGGAAUUACACAGAGGAGAUUAGCAUGAUCCUGCACAAAGAUGAUAUGUUAGUCAGCUAUUUAU